This is a long non-coding RNA of Choloepus didactylus (southern two-toed sloth), 649 nucleotides long. RefSeq lists it as uncharacterized. The record is from RefSeq and is a predicted model, not a curated record. The transcript has 5 exons. Lineage: Eukaryota; Metazoa; Chordata; Mammalia; Pilosa; Megalonychidae.
AGCUUUCCCACACAUCCUCUGAGAAGACUGAGAAAACAUACUUAUAUCAUGGAAUCAUAACCAUUGGUAAACCUUUUUUGCUAAGUUAUGUAUGCAACACAAGAUAUUAUGAUACCAGAGGCUAUCAGUGUGGAGGAGAAGAGCUUCGUCACAAAGAUGACUGCAAAUUUUGGCAGAGAAAUGUAUGUUCAUGAAGAACUCAUUGAGAACUUCAUACUUCCCUAGGCAACGGGUUUCCAGAAGAAAACAGAUACCUUUCCUAAGAACUCCAGUUAAUUAGGUGAUUGGAAGCAGUGUCUUCAAAGCCUGUUAUAUUUUCUCAAUAGGUUAAAUGUUACUCUUAUUGGAGCCAUGAAUAAAGAAAUUCAACAAGCAAAUAUUGUCCUUUAUAAAGGGGAUGUAAUUCAGACAAAAAGAGAAAACCAUGGAAGCAAGAAGCUGAAAUCACCGCAACUGGAAGGAAAGGAAAAGAUCAGCAGAUGCCACUAUAAGCCUUACCAUGAGGCAAAGGAGUCCAGCAUCACCAGCAGCUGUUUUUCAGGAAGAAAGUAUCAUCAGGUUGCCUUGAUUUGGACACUGUCCUGUCCUGAAAACAUAAGCCCAUAAGCUAAUAAAUUCCCCUUGUUAAAAGCCAUCUUAUUUCAUGGUA